RNAcentral lists this ribosomal RNA (1432 nucleotides) under metagenome. RNAcentral describes it as "bacterial LSU rRNA". It matches the Rfam family "Bacterial large subunit ribosomal RNA", at positions 1501 to 2925 of the family's 2925-position model. The record is from RNAcentral.
GAUGUCCCGGUUCUAGCCUGUAGUCAUGCCUGGUAGGUAAAUCCGCCGGGUUUAGAUGAGAGGUGAUAACGAGGCGGCUUGCCGCCGAAGUGAGUAAUACCCUGCUUCCAGGAAAAGCCACUAAGCUUCAGCUACACACGACCGUACCGCAAACCGACACUGGUGCGCGAGAUGAGUAUUCUAAGGCGCUUGAGAGAACUCAGGAGAAGGAACUCGGCAAAUUGACACCGUAACUUCGGAAGAAGGUGUGCCUUUAGUAGGUGAAGUCCCCGCGGAUGGAGCCCAAUGAGGUUGCAAAAAAUCGGUGGCUGCGACUGUUUAAUAAAAACACAGCACUCUGCAAAGACGAAAGUCGACGUAUAGGGUGUGACGCCUGCCCGGUGCUGGAUUAAAUGAUGGGGUGCAAGCUCUUGAUUGAAGUCCCAGUAAACGGCGGCCGUAACGAUAACGGUCCUAAGGUAGCGAAAUUCCUUGUCGGGUAAGUUCCGACCUGCACGAAUGGCGUAACGAUGGCCACACUGUCUCCUCCUGAGACUCAGCGAAGUUGAAAUGUUUGUGAUGAUGCAAUCUCCCCGCGGAAAGACGGAAAGACCCCAUGAACCUUUACUGUAGCUUUGUAUUGGACUUUGAACAGAUCUGUGUAGGAUAGGUGGGAGGCUUUGAAGCAGGGUCGCUAGAUCUUGUGGAGCCAACGUUGAAAUACCACCCUGGUGUGUUUGAGGUUCUAACCUAGGUCCAUUAUCUGGAUCGGGGACAGUGCAUGGUAGGCAGUUUGACUGGGGCGGUCUCCUCCCAAAGCGUAACGGAGGAGUUCGAAGGUACGCUAGUUACGGUCGGACAUCGUGACGAUAGUGCAAUGGCAUAAGCGUGCUUAACUGCGAGACUGACAAGUCGAGCAGAUGCGAAAGCAGGACAUAGUGAUCCGGUGGUUCUGUAUGGAAGGGCCAUCGCUCAACGGAUAAAAGGUACUCUGGGGAUAACAGGCUGAUACCGCCCAAGAGUUCAUAUCGACGGCGGUGUUUGGCACCUCGAUGUCGGCUCAUCUCAUCCUGGGGCUGUAGCCGGUCCCAAGGGUAUGGCUGUUCGCCAUUUAAAGAGGUACGUGAGCUGGGUUUAAAACGUCGUGAGACAGUUUGGUCCCUAUCUUCCGUGGGCGCUGCAGAUUUGAGGAAGCCUGCUCCUAGUACGAGAGGACCGGAGUGGACAUACCUCUGGUGUAUCGGUUGUCACGCCAGUGGCAUUGCCGAGUAGCUAAGUAUGGAAGAGAUAACCGCUGAAAGCAUCUAAGCGGGAAACUCGUUUCAAGAUGAGAUCUGCCGGGGCCUUGAGCCCCCUAAAGAGUCGUUCAAGACCAGGACGUUGAUAGGUCGGGUGUGGAAGCGCAGUAAUGCGUUAAGCUAACCGAUACUAAUUGCUCGUGCGGCUUGACCCU